GCCUGACAAUUAUGGAAUGAGAAAUCAUGCCUUCACAUCAUGCUUUAUAUCAGUCAGAAAAAUAAUUACAGUAAAAAAAAAAAAAAAAUACUUGAAGAGAUUUCAAAAAACCCCAAGCUUCAAAGACUGAAAGAAGAAAAACAAGUAAUGCAAAAUGAACAUUGCAGCUGAUUUGACAGGAGCUGAGUUCGGGCCUCCAUGUUACAGGCAGCAGGAUGACCCAUUCUCUCCUCCCCCUGACCUCCUGAGGAGCGCCAUGCCGGAAUUCCACGUUUAC
This is a long non-coding RNA of Oxyura jamaicensis (ruddy duck), 277 nucleotides long. RefSeq lists it as uncharacterized. The transcript is spliced from 2 exons. The record is from RefSeq and is a predicted model, not a curated record. Lineage: Eukaryota; Metazoa; Chordata; Aves; Anseriformes; Anatidae.